GACGAACGCUGGCGGCGUGCCUAAUACAUGCAAGUUGAGCGAUGAAGCUUGGUGCUUGCACCAAUUUGAAGAGCAGCGAACGGGUGAGUAACGCGUGGGGAAUCUGCCUUUGAGCGGGGGACAACAUUUGGAAACGAAUGCUAAUACCGCAUAACAACUUUAAACAUAAGUUUUAAGUUUGAAAGAUGCAAUUGCAUCACUCAAAGAUGAUCCCGCGUUGUAUUAGCUAGUUGGUGAGGUAAAGGCUCACCAAGGCGAUGAUACAUAGCCGACCUGAGAGGGUGAUCGGCCACAUUGGGACGGAGACACGGCCCAAACGCCUACGGGAGGCAGCAGUAGGGAAUCUUCGGCAAUGGACGAAAGUCUGACCGAGCAACGCCGCGUGAGUGAAGAAGGUUUUCGGAUCGUAAAACUCGGUUGGUAGAGAAGAACGUUGGUGAGAGUGGAAAGCUCAUCAAGUGACGGUAACUACCCAGAAAGGGACGGCUAACUACGUG
This 497-nucleotide ribosomal RNA is filed under the name uncultured bacterium. RNAcentral's name for it is "partial 16S ribosomal RNA". It matches the Rfam family "Bacterial small subunit ribosomal RNA", at positions 28 to 507 of the family's 1533-position model. The record is from RNAcentral.